RNAcentral lists this ribosomal RNA (467 nucleotides) under uncultured bacterium. Its description in RNAcentral is "partial 16S ribosomal RNA". It matches the Rfam family "Bacterial small subunit ribosomal RNA", at positions 28 to 507 of the family's 1533-position model. The record is from RNAcentral.
GACGAACGCUGGCGGCGUGCUUAACACAUGCAAGUCGAACGGAAAGGCUCCAGCUUGCUGGAGUACUCGAGUGGCGAACGGGUGAGUAACACGUGGGUAAUCUGCCCUGCACUCUGGGAUAAGCCUGGGAAACUGGGUCUAAUACUGGAUAUGACCUUUCUCCUUAUGGGGUUUGGUGGAAAGUUUUUCGGUGUAGGAUGAGCCCGCGGCCUAUCAGCUUGUUGGUGGGGUGAUGGCCUACCAAGGCGACGACGGGUAGCCGGCCUGAGAGGGUGAUCGGCCACAUUGGGACUGAGAUACGGCCCAGACUCCUACGGGAGGCAGCAGUGGGGAAUAUUGCACAAUGGGCGGAAGCCUGAUGCAGCGACGCCGCGUGAGGAAUGACGGCCUUCGGGUUGUAAACCUCUUUCAGCAGGGACGAAGCGUAAGUGACGGUACCUGCAGAAGAAGCACCGGCUAACUAUGUG